This 661-nucleotide long non-coding RNA is filed under the name Vulpes vulpes (red fox). RNAcentral's name for it is "lncRNA (ENSVVUG00000003677.1)". The record is from RNAcentral. Lineage: Eukaryota; Metazoa; Chordata; Mammalia; Carnivora; Canidae.
GAGGUGAGUUGUUGAUUUACAGUUAGAAUUCAAUAUUUCAUUUGGCCCUUGAUCAAAAUACAUGAUUUACAAUUAGAAAUAUGUGUUACUUUCUUAUAAGGCAUUAUGUCUUUGUGGGGAAAACUCAACUAAAUGAAUUCUAAAUUUUAUCCCUAGGUCUUCUGUGUGCAUAUCUGAAGAAAUUCUAUGCAUUGGGUCUAAGCCUUUGUGAACAGACAUGAUUCACGGAGUGACAACUAUUGAAAAUGCAGGCUUAGGUGGAAUUCGUCUUCCAAUUAGUGUGCACAAAUGCAGACCCUUCGUGGGAUGGAGAGAAUUAGAGAAGGUGGGUGUAUAGAAGUCCACAGGAGAAGUGAUGGGGCUACGCAGAGAGCCUUUCAGCCUGAGGGGCGUCCACUGCACAGUAGAAGCGAGUGUGGCACUGCAAAGUAUCGCCCCAACCCAGUGAUCCAGAAGUCGAACUCAGUCAUUCUGCACAAUAAAGAUAACAGCUGCUGGCCUGGGUCCUAUUUCAAAGCUUUCUAACCCAGUCGUAAACAGGCGAGCUUCAGACUCCUCUUCAUUCAGCCACAGUCUGUGCACUUGCUCAGCAGCCACGAUAAACCUCGAGUGGGAGGUGCUCUGAUGGCCAAAUAGAAUAGCUUGUGGUUUCUGACAAAAC